AUUGAACGCUGGCGGCAGGCUUAACACAUGCAAGUCGAGCGGGGUGAUGGUGCUUGCACUAUCACUUAGCGGCGGACGGGUGAGUAAUGCUUAGGAAUCUGCCUAUUAGUGGGGGACAACAUCCCGAAAGGGAUGCUAAUACCGCAUACGUCCUACGAGAGAAAGCAGGGGAUCACUUGCGACCUUGCGCUAAUAGACGAGCCUAAGUCGGAUUAGCUAGUUGGUGGGUUAAAGGCCUAGCAAGGCGACGAUCUGUAGCGGGUCUGAGAGGAUGAUCCGCCACACUGAGACUGAGACACGGCCCAGACUCCUACGGGAGGCAGCAGUGGGGAAUAUUGGACAAUGGGGGGAACCCUGAUCCAGCCAUGCCGCGUGUGUGAAGAAGGCCUUAUGGUUGUAAAGCACUUUAAGCGAGGAGGAGGCUCUUUUGGUUAAUACCCAAGAUGAGUGGACGUUACUCGCAGAAUAAGCACCGGCUAACUCUGUGCCAGCCGCCGCCGUAA
This 503-nucleotide ribosomal RNA is filed under the name uncultured bacterium. RNAcentral describes it as "partial 16S ribosomal RNA". It matches the Rfam family "Bacterial small subunit ribosomal RNA", at positions 30 to 523 of the family's 1533-position model. The record is from RNAcentral.